GACGAACCGUACGAACGUUAUUCGGAAUCACUGGGCUUAAAGGGUGCGUAGGCGGCGCGACAAGUUGGGUGUGAAAUCCCUCGGCUCAACCGAGGAACUGCGCCCAAAACUGUCGUGCUCGAGGGAGACAGAGGUGAGCGGAACUUAGGGUGGAGCGGUGAAAUGCGUUGAUAUCCUAAGGAACACCGGUGGCGAAAGCGGCUCACUGGGUCGUAUCUGACGCUCAGGCGCGACAGCGUGGGGAUCAAACAGG
This 253-nucleotide ribosomal RNA is filed under the name uncultured bacterium. Its description in RNAcentral is "partial 16S ribosomal RNA". It matches the Rfam family "Bacterial small subunit ribosomal RNA", at positions 524 to 776 of the family's 1533-position model. The record is from RNAcentral.